Molecule: long non-coding RNA, 237 nt
Filed under: Manihot esculenta (cassava)
Lineage: Eukaryota; Viridiplantae; Streptophyta; Magnoliopsida; Malpighiales; Euphorbiaceae
Description: long non-coding RNA (MESC_LNC009071)
Source: RNAcentral
UUAAGAACAUUCAUCCUCAAAUGUUUAGCCAUACAUGUAUACACAUAGAAUACACAUAAAAAAGACACAUAAAACCAUCUAACAACUUACUUCAAAAGAUAUGAGAAUAAUGCCUAAGCAUCGACUCUCUUAUCUCUCAGGUACGCUCUUCUAUAUUGUUGUGAUUUCAUAAAAUUUUUACCAUCGCAAUUUUCUUAUUUCUCAACUUUCUAAUUUGUGUGUCUAAAAUUCAUAUUG